UAAGGAAUAUUGGUCAAUGGACGCAAGUCUGAACCAGCCAUGCCGCGUGAAGGAUGAAGGUCCUCUGGAUUGUAAACUUCUUUUAUCUGGGACGAAAACGGGAUUUUUAUCUCAAUUGACGGUACCAGAGGAAUAAGCACCGGCUAACUCCGUGCCAGCAGCCGCGGUAAUACAGAGGGGGCAAGCGUUAUUCGGAAUUAUUGGGCGUAAAGGGCGCGUAGGCGGUGUCUUAAGUGGGAUGUGCAAUCCCCGGGCUUAACCUGGGAACUGCAUCCCAGACUGGGACGCUGGAGUACUGGAGAGGGUGGUGGAAUUCCACGUGUAGCGGUGAAAUGCGUAGAGAUGUGGAGGAACACCAGUGGCGAAGGCGGCCACCUGGACAGUAACUGACGCUGAGGCGCGAAAGUGUGGGUAGCAAACA
Molecule: ribosomal RNA, 421 nt
Filed under: uncultured bacterium
Lineage: Bacteria
Description: bacterial SSU rRNA
Rfam family: Bacterial small subunit ribosomal RNA
Source: RNAcentral